ACGAGCGCUGGCGGCGUGCUUAACACAUGCAAGUCGAACGGAAAGGACCUGCUUUUGUGGGGUGCUCGGGUGGCGAACGGGUGAGUAACACGUGAGUAACCUGCACCUGACUUUGGGAUAACUUCAGGAAACUGGGGCUAAUACCGGAAAGGAGCUCCUGCUGCAUGGUGGGGGUUGGAAAGUUUCGGCGGUUGGGGAUGGACUCGCGGCGUAUCAGCUUGUUGGUGGGGUAGUGGCUUACCAAGGCUUUGACGGGUAGCCGGCCUGAGAGGGUGACCGGCCACAUUGGGACUGAGGUACGGCCCAGACUGCUACGGGAGGCAGCAGUGGGGAAGAUUGCACCAGGGGCGGAGGCCUGAUGCAGCAACGCCGCGUGCGGGAUGACGGUCUUCUGGUUGUAGACCGCUUUCGCCUGUGACGAAGCGUGAGUGACGGUAAUGGGUAAAGAAGCACCGGCUAACUACGUG
RNAcentral lists this ribosomal RNA (467 nucleotides) under uncultured bacterium. RNAcentral's name for it is "partial 16S ribosomal RNA". It matches the Rfam family "Bacterial small subunit ribosomal RNA", at positions 29 to 507 of the family's 1533-position model. The record is from RNAcentral.